AAAGUGGUGUUAAGACCGCGUACGCUCGAUCCAGUAGAGAGGAUUGAGGAAAAGACGCAAGUCUGCGGGGUGAGGGGCUUACGGCCCAUCAGGUAGUUGGGGGGGUAAGAGCCCACCAAGCCGAUGACGGGUAGCUGGUCUGAGAGGAUGGACAGCCAGACUGGGACUGAGAGACGGCCCAGACUCCUACGGGAGGCAGCAGUUAGGGAUCUUGCGCAAUGGGCGAAAGCCUGACGCAGCGACGCCGCGUGGGGGAGGAAGGUCUUCGGAUUGUAAACCCCUUUGGUCGGGAAGAGGAAGGACGGUACCGGCCGAAUAAGCCCCGGCUAACUACGUGCCAGCAGCCGCGGUAAUACGUAGGGGGCGAGCGUUGUCCGGAUUUACUGGGCGUAAAGAGCGCGUAGGCGGCUUCAUACGUUGGUGCUGAACGGGUGGGGCUCAACCCCACGACGGGUACCGAAACUGGUGAGGCUUGAGGGCAGUAGAGGACGGUGGAAUUCCGGGUGUAGUGGUGAAAUGCGUAGAGAUCCGGAGGAACACCAGUGGCGAAGGCGGCCGUCUGGGCUGCAACUGACGCUGAGGCGCGAAAGCGUGGGGAGCGAACUGAAUUAGAUACUCAGGUAGUCCACGCCCUAAACGAUGGACACGAGGUGUCGGGGGUAUCGACCCCCUCGGCGCCGGCGCGAACGCAGUAAGUGUCCCGCCUGGGGAGUACGGCCGCAAGGCUAAAACUCAAAGGAAUUGACGG
Molecule: ribosomal RNA, 748 nt
Filed under: uncultured bacterium
Lineage: Bacteria
Description: bacterial SSU rRNA
Rfam family: Bacterial small subunit ribosomal RNA
Source: RNAcentral